AUUGAACGCUGGCGGCAUGCCUUACACAUGCAAGUCGAACGGCAGCACGGGAGCAAUCCUGGUGGCGAGUGGCGAACGGGUGAGUAAUAUAUCGGAACGUGCCCAGUCGUGGGGGAUAACGUAGCGAAAGCUACGCUAAUACCGCAUACGAUCUAUGGAUGAAAGCGGGGGAUCGCAAGACCUCGCGCGAUUGGAGCGGCCGAUAUCAGAUUAGGUAGUUGGUGAGGUAAAGGCUCGCCAAGCCGACGAUCUGUAGCUGGUCUGAGAGGACGACCAGCCANACUGGGACUGAGACA
Molecule: ribosomal RNA, 296 nt
Filed under: uncultured bacterium
Lineage: Bacteria
Description: partial 16S ribosomal RNA
Rfam family: Bacterial small subunit ribosomal RNA
Source: RNAcentral